RNAcentral lists this ribosomal RNA (465 nucleotides) under uncultured bacterium. RNAcentral's name for it is "partial 16S ribosomal RNA". It matches the Rfam family "Bacterial small subunit ribosomal RNA", at positions 28 to 507 of the family's 1533-position model. The record is from RNAcentral.
GACGAACGCUGGCGGCGUGCUUAACACAUGCAAGUCGAACGGAAAGGCCCUGCUUGCAGGGUACUCGAGUGGCGAACGGGUGAGUAACACGUGGGUGAUCUGCCCUGCACUUCGGGAUAAGCCUGGGAAACUGGGUCUAAUACCGGAUAGGAGCCAUUUUUAGUGUGAUGGUUGGAAAGUUUUUUCGGUGUAGGAUGAGCUCGCGGCCUAUCAGCUUGUUGGUGGGGUAAUGGCCUACCAAGGCGGCGACGGGUAGCCGGCCUGAGAGGGUGGACGGCCACAUUGGGGCUGAGAUACGGCCCAGACUCCUACGGGAGGCAGCAGGGGGGAAUAUUGCACAAUGGGCGCAAGCCUGAUGCAGCGACGCCGCGUGGGGGAUGACGGCCUUCGGGUUGUAAACUCCUUUCGCUAGGGACGAAGCUUUUUGUGACGGUACCUAGAUAAGAAGCACCGGCUAACUACGUG